AGAGUUUGAUCCUGGCUCAGGAUGAACGCUGGCGGCGUGCCUAAUACAUGCAAGUCGAACGCUUUGUGGUUCAACUGAUUUGAAGAGCUUGCUCAGAUAUGACGAUGGACAUUGCAAAGAGUGGCGAACGGGUGAGUAACACGUGGGAAACCUACCUCUUAGCAGAGGAUAACAUUUGGAAACAGAUGCUAAUACCGUAUAACAAUGACAACCGCAUGAUUGUUAUUUAAAAGAUGGUUCUGCUAUCACUAAGAGAUGGUCCCGCGGUGCAUUAGCUAGUUGGUAAGGUAAUGGCUUACCAAGGCGAUGAUGCAUAGCCGAGUUGAGAGACUGAUCGGCCACAAUGGGACUGAGACACGGCCCAUACUCCUACGGGAGGCAGCAGUAGGGAAUCUUCCACAAUAGGCGAAAGCCUGAUGGAGCAACGCCGCGUGUGUGACGAAGGGUUUCGGCUCGUAAAACACUGUUGUAAGAGAAGAAUGACAUUGAGAGUAACUGUUCAAUGUGUGACGGUAUCUUACCAGAAAGGAACGGCUAAAUACGUGCCAGCAGCCGCGGUAAUAAGGGCGAAUUC
RNAcentral lists this ribosomal RNA (574 nucleotides) under uncultured bacterium. RNAcentral describes it as "bacterial SSU rRNA". It matches the Rfam family "Bacterial small subunit ribosomal RNA", at positions 8 to 534 of the family's 1533-position model. The record is from RNAcentral.